This 253-nucleotide ribosomal RNA is filed under the name uncultured bacterium. RNAcentral describes it as "partial 16S ribosomal RNA". It matches the Rfam family "Bacterial small subunit ribosomal RNA", at positions 524 to 776 of the family's 1533-position model. The record is from RNAcentral.
UACGAAGGGGGCUAGCGUUGCUCGGAUUGACUGGGCGUAAAGGGCGCGUAGGCGGAUAGUACAGUCAGGCGUGAAAUUCCUGGGCUCAACCUGGGGGCUGCGUUUGAUACGUGUUGUCUGGAGUUCGGAAGAGGGUCGUGGAAUUCCUGGUGUAGCGGUGAAAUGCGUAGAUAUCCGGAGGAACACCGGUGGCGAAGGCGGCUUCCUGGACCGAUACUGACGCUGAGGCGCGAAAGCUAGGGGAGCAAACGGG